RNAcentral lists this ribosomal RNA (617 nucleotides) under Capnobotryella sp. MA 4565. RNAcentral describes it as "bacterial SSU rRNA". It matches the Rfam family "Eukaryotic small subunit ribosomal RNA", at positions 1225 to 1831 of the family's 1831-position model. Lineage: Eukaryota; Fungi; Ascomycota; Dothideomycetes; Mycosphaerellales; Teratosphaeriaceae. The record is from RNAcentral.
CAGUCGACAGGAGGAUUGACAGAUUGAGAGCUCUUUCUUGAUUUUGUGGGUGGUGGUCUCAUGGCCGUUCUUAAUUGGUGGAGUGAUUUGUCUGCUUAAUUGCGAUAACGAACGAGACCUUAACCUGCUAAAUAGCCAGGCCCGCCUUGGCGGGUCGCCGGCUUCUUAGAGGGACUAUCGGCUCAAGCCGAUGGAAGUUUGAGGCAAUAACAGGUCUGUGAUGCCCUUAGAUGUUCUGGGCCGCACGCGCGCUACACUGACAGAGCCAACGAGUUCAUCACCUUGGCCGGAAGGUCUGGGUAAUCUUGUUAAACUCUGUCGUGCUGGGGAUAGGGCAUUGCAAUUAUUGCCCUUCAACGAGGAAUGCCUAGUAAGCGCAUGUCAUCAGCAUGCGUUGAUUACGUCCCUGCCCUUUGUACACACCGCCCGUCGCUACUACCGAUUGAAUGGCUCAGUGAGGCUUUCGGACUGCCCCAGGGAGGUCGGCAACGACCACCCAGGGGCGGAAAGUUAGUCAAACUCGGUCAUUUAGAGGAAGUAAAAGUCGUAACAAGGUCUCCGUAGGUGAACCUGCGGAGGGAUCAUUACCGAGUGAGGGCCUCCGGGCUCGACCUCCA